RNAcentral lists this ribosomal RNA (465 nucleotides) under Vreelandella stevensii. RNAcentral's name for it is "partial 16S ribosomal RNA". It matches the Rfam family "Bacterial small subunit ribosomal RNA", at positions 338 to 794 of the family's 1533-position model. Lineage: Bacteria; Pseudomonadati; Pseudomonadota; Gammaproteobacteria; Oceanospirillales; Halomonadaceae. The record is from RNAcentral.
CCUACGGGUGGCUGCAGUGGGGAAUAUUGGACAAUGGGCGAAAGCCUGAUCCAGCCAUGCCGCGUGUGUGAAGAAGGCCUUCGGGUUGUAAGGCACUUUCAGUGGGGAAGAAAGCCUUGGGGCUAAUACCCUCGAGGAAGGACAUCACCCACAGAAGAAGCACCGGCUAACUCCGUGCCAGCAGCCGCGGUAAUACGGAGGGUGCGAGCGUUAAUCGGAAUUACUGGGCGUAAAGCGCGCGUAGGCGGUCUGAUAAGCCGGUUGUGAAAGCCCCGGGCUCAACCUGGGAACGGCAUCCGGUAAGUUGCAGGGGAGAGGGGAGGAGAGGAGGGGAGAGUACACGGUGUGACGAGGAAAUGAGUAGAGGUCGGCAGAAAACAGAGUGGGGAAGGCGGGCGGAUGGACUUAAUGUGACGAUGUGGUGCGAGAGCGUGGAUAGCAAACAGGGUUAGAAAAACUAGUAGU